This 343-nucleotide ribosomal RNA is filed under the name uncultured bacterium. RNAcentral describes it as "bacterial SSU rRNA". It matches the Rfam family "Bacterial small subunit ribosomal RNA", at positions 32 to 356 of the family's 1533-position model. The record is from RNAcentral.
AAUCAACGCUGGCGGCGUGCCUCAGACAUGCAAGUCGAACGAGAAGUCCCCUUCGGGGGAUGGAUAGUGGCGCACGGGUGAGUAACACGUGGGUAAUUUACCUUUGGGUGGGGAACAACAGCCGGAAACGGCUGCUAAUACCGCAUAAUGCAGCGGCUCCUCAUGGAGACAGUUGUUAAAGCGGGGGAUCGCAAGACCUCGCGCCUGAAGAGAAGCCCGCGGCAGAUUAGCUAGUUGGUAAGGUAAUGGCUUACCAAGGCGACGAUCUGUAACCGGCCUGAGAGGGCGGUCGGUCACACUGACACUGACAUACGGGGUCAGACUCCUACGGGAGGCAGCAGUC